CACGUAGGGGCCAAGCGUUGUCCGGAUUUAUUGGGCGUAAAGAGCUCGUAGGCGGUUCGACAAGUCGGGUGUGAAAACUCCGGGCUCAACCCGGAGACGCCACCCGAUACUGUCGUGACUGGAGUCCGGUAGGGGAGUGGGGAAUUCCUGGUGUAGCGGUGAAAUGCGCAGAUAUCAGGAGGAACACCGGUGGCGAAGGCGGGUCUCUGGGCCGAUACUGACGCUGAGGAGCGAAAGCGUGGGGAGCGAACAGG
This 254-nucleotide ribosomal RNA is filed under the name uncultured bacterium. Its description in RNAcentral is "partial 16S ribosomal RNA". It matches the Rfam family "Bacterial small subunit ribosomal RNA", at positions 524 to 776 of the family's 1533-position model. The record is from RNAcentral.